This 418-nucleotide ribosomal RNA is filed under the name Spodoptera frugiperda (fall armyworm). RNAcentral describes it as "partial 16S ribosomal RNA". The record is from RNAcentral. Lineage: Eukaryota; Metazoa; Arthropoda; Insecta; Lepidoptera; Noctuidae.
GGGCUGCAGUAUAUUGACUGUACAAAGGUAGCAUAAUCAUUAGUCAUUUAAUUGAUGACUUGUAUGAAAGAUUGGAUGAAAUAUAAGCUGUCUCUUUAUUAUUUUAUAGAAUUUAAUUUUUUAAUUAAAAAGUUAAAAUAAAUUAAAAAGACGAGAAGACCCUAUAGAGUUUUAUAUUUAAAGUAAUUGAGAUUAUUUAUAAAGUUUUUAAUUAAAAUUAUUUUAAUUAUUUUGUUGGGGUGACAAAAAAAUAUAAAAAACUUUUUUUAUUAUUUAACAUAAAUAAGUGAGUAUAUGAUCCAAUAUUAUUGAUUAUAAGAAAAAAUUACCUUAGGGAUAACAGCGUAAUUUUUUUUUUUAGUUCGAAUAAAAAAAAGAGUUUGCGACCUCGAUGUUGGAUUAAGAUAAAAUUUAAAUG